GAGGGAAUAAGGUACCUACAUCACGAAAGCCGUAACCCAGUUGUGCAUGGUGACGUGAAACCGAGCAAUAUUCUUAUCGACGCGAAAAUGGAAGCAAAGAUUGGUGAUUUUGAAGUUGCUAGGAUUUUGACCCAACAGCGAGCUAGUCCCUCAAUGGGGAUCACCACCCCUAAUGGUUACACACCUCCUGGUAAGCAUCAGCAGUCUAUCUGCUCUAUUACUUCGUUAACUACGAUGACUAGUGCCUGGGUAGAAAAAGUUGUAGAUUGGACGUUCGUGGUGUUUCUGGCUCAUAGCAAAGUUGGUGACGCAUGUAAUAGAUUGAUUACCGACUCUUCGUUUCUAACCAAUUUGACUUCGUCUAUGUCUUUAACAGACGUUUGGGAAUCAGGAGUUCCAAGCAAGAAGGGCGAUGUGUACAGUUUCGGAAUCGUUAUGUUGGAAAUGAUAUCUGGAAGGAGUCCAGACAGACUCGAACCAGCGCAAACCCUACCUCAAUGGGUCCGUGCAACUGUAUCAAACUCCAAAGCUUUACAUAACGUACUGGACCCCCUCCUGAUGUCGGACCUUGUGGCGCAUCAACAAAAAAUGGCCAUGGUCCUGGGAGUGGCGCUUCUUUGCACUCGGAUCAAACCUGAAGAAC
This 643-nucleotide long non-coding RNA is filed under the name Physcomitrium patens. Its description in RNAcentral is "long non-coding RNA (PPAT_LNC007553)". Lineage: Eukaryota; Viridiplantae; Streptophyta; Bryopsida; Funariales; Funariaceae. The record is from RNAcentral.